UACGUAGGGGGCAAGCGUUGUCCGGAAUCAUUGGGCGUAAAGAGCGUGUAGGCGGCCCGAUAAGUCUGUCGUGAAAGCCCCGGGCUCAACCUGGGAAUGGCGAUGGAUACUGGCGGGCUAGAGUGCGGUAGAGGAGAGUGGAAUUCCCGGUGUAGCAGUGAAAUGCGUAGAGAUCGGGAGGAACAUCAGUUGCGAAGGCGGCUCUCUGGACCAGCACUGACACUGAGGCACGAAAGCGUGGGGAGCAAACAGG
This 253-nucleotide ribosomal RNA is filed under the name uncultured bacterium. Its description in RNAcentral is "partial 16S ribosomal RNA". It matches the Rfam family "Bacterial small subunit ribosomal RNA", at positions 524 to 776 of the family's 1533-position model. The record is from RNAcentral.